Long non-coding RNA from Ictalurus punctatus (channel catfish), 921 nucleotides. RefSeq lists it as uncharacterized. The record is from RefSeq and is a predicted model, not a curated record. NCBI's taxonomy places the organism in Eukaryota, Metazoa, Chordata, Actinopteri, Siluriformes, Ictaluridae. The transcript has 2 exons.
GGUAUGGAGAGAGAGGCGGAGAGAGAGAGAGGUGUAUGGAGAGAGAGGCAGAGAGAGAGAGAGGUGUAUGGAGAGAGAGGCGGAGAGAGAGAGAGGUGUAUGGAGAGAGAGGCAGAGAGAGAGAGAGGUAAAGAGAGAGGCAGAGAGAGAGGCAGAGAGAGAGAGAGGUGUAUGGAGAGAGAGGCGGAGAGAGAGAGAGGUAUAGAGAGAGAGGCGGAGAGAGAGAUAGGUAUGGAGAGAGAGAGAGAGGUAUGGAGAGAGAGGCAGAGAGAGAGAGGUAUAGAGAGAGAGGCAGAGAGAGAGAGGUAUGGAGAGAGAGGCGGAGAGAGAGAGGGGUGUAUGGGGAGAGAGGUGGAGAGAGAGAGGUGUAUGGAGAGAGAGGCGGAGAGAGAGAGGUAUGGAGAGAGAGGCGGAGAGAGAGGUGUAUGGGGAGAGAGGCGGAGAGAGAGGUAUGGAAAAAGAGAGAGAGGUAUGGACUCACACGCACUCACACGCACUCACACGCACUCACACGCACUCACACGCACUCACACGCACUCACACCAUUUGAAUGUUUUGAAAAUCCUUGAGAAAGUUUGUGUGCGUCUGCGAGUGUGAGCGCGAGCGUGCGACAGCAUUAAGGGCAGCGACGUCAAUAAGAAAAUCCCUGACAAACUUCUCUGGCAGCUCGCGCUGUGGAAACGAGCCCAAUUACUCCAGCGCCGAGUUUUGUCAAAUUAAUGAAACCGAGCUGUGUGGAUAAAAAAAACCUGGCCUUAAACCCUCCACCUGUUCCCUGGAUCGCAUUCCAACAGCUUUCUACAAAUCUGCUGCUGACAGCACGGUGUGUGUGUGUGUGUGUGUGUGUGUGUGUGUGUGUGUGACAGCAUGUUUCCUGAGAAACAGGUGCCUUAAACACACGCUUAUCAAACCUCUUCCGAA